CCUACGGGUGGCAGCAGUGAGGAAUAUUGGUCACUGGGCGCGAGCCUGAACCAGCCAAGUAGCGUGAAGGAUGACUGCCCUACGGGUUGUAAACUUUUUUUAUAAAGGAAUAAAGUGAGGCACGGGUGCCUUUUUGUAUGUACUUUAUGAAUAAGGAUCGGCUAACUCCGUGCCAGCCGCCGCGGUAAUACGUAGGAUCCGAUCGUUAUCCGGAUUUAUUGGGUUUAAGGGGAGCGUAGAUGGGUUGUUAAGUCAGUUGUGAAAGUUUGCGGCUUAACCGUAAAAAUGCAUUUGAUACUGGCAGCCUUGAGUACAGUUGAGGUAGGCGGAAUUCGUGGUGUAGCGGUGAAAUGCGUAGAUAUCACGAAGAACACCGAUUGCGAAGGCAGCUCACUAAACUGCCACUGACAUUGAGGCUCGAAAGUGUGGGUAUCAAACAGGAUUAGAUACCCCAGUAGUC
This 460-nucleotide ribosomal RNA is filed under the name uncultured bacterium. RNAcentral describes it as "partial 16S ribosomal RNA". It matches the Rfam family "Bacterial small subunit ribosomal RNA", at positions 338 to 795 of the family's 1533-position model. The record is from RNAcentral.